This 297-nucleotide ribosomal RNA is filed under the name Triticum aestivum (bread wheat). Its description in RNAcentral is "partial small subunit ribosomal RNA". The record is from RNAcentral. Lineage: Eukaryota; Viridiplantae; Streptophyta; Magnoliopsida; Poales; Poaceae.
AUGUGUAUGAUACCUAGGCCCCUAGGGGGGAGAUUACUAAAAUCUCCUUCUGGUGGAGAUGGGUGGAUUGUUAGUGUAGAUGAUUUAGAAGAUAUAAUUGGUGGGCAUGUAUGGUUGGGUUUUAUUUGUGUAUUUGGCGGAAUUUGGCAUAUUUUAACCAAACUCUUCGCAUGGGAUCGCCGUGCAUUUGUAUGGUCUAUAGAAGCUUACUUGUCUUAUAGUCUAGCUGCUUUAUCUGUCUUUGGUUUUAUCGCUUGUUGUUUUGUAUGGUUCAACAAUACAACUUAUUCGAGUUAG